RNAcentral lists this ribosomal RNA (505 nucleotides) under uncultured bacterium. Its description in RNAcentral is "partial 16S ribosomal RNA". It matches the Rfam family "Bacterial small subunit ribosomal RNA", at positions 30 to 523 of the family's 1533-position model. The record is from RNAcentral.
AUUGAACGCUGGCGGCAUGCCUUACACAUGCAAGUCGAACGGCAGCAUGGAGAGCUUGCUCUCUGAUGGCGAGUGGCGAACGGGUGAGUAAUGCAUCGGAACGUACCGUGUAGUGGGGGAUAACGUAGCGAAAGUUACGCUAAUACCGCAUACGCACUGAGGUGGAAAGCAGGGGAUCGCAAGACCUUGCGCUAGACGAGCGGCCGAUGUCAGAUUAGCUAGUUGGUAGGGUAAAGGCCUACCAAGGUGACGAUCUGUAGCGGGUCUGAGAGGAUGAUCCGCCACACUGGGACUGAGACACGGCCCAGACUCCUACGGGAGGCAGCAGUGGGGAAUUUUGGACAAUGGGGGCAACCCUGAUCCAGCCAUGCCGCGUGAGUGAAGAAGGCCUUCGGGUUGUAAAGCUCUUUCGGCCGGGAAGAAAUCGCACAGGCUAAUACUCUGUGUGGAUGACGGUACCGGCAUAAGAAGCACCGGCUAACUACGUGCCAGCCGCCCGCAGUAA